CCGGAACGGUGGAUCACUCGGCUCGCGGAU
RNAcentral lists this ribosomal RNA (30 nucleotides) under Bemisia tabaci. RNAcentral describes it as "partial 5.8S ribosomal RNA". The record is from RNAcentral. Lineage: Eukaryota; Metazoa; Arthropoda; Insecta; Hemiptera; Aleyrodidae.